RNAcentral lists this transfer RNA (123 nucleotides) under Candidatus Woesearchaeota archaeon. Its description in RNAcentral is "tRNA-Leu". It matches the Rfam family "tRNA". From Rfam's summary of the family: Transfer RNA (tRNA) molecules are approximately 80 nucleotides in length. Their secondary structure includes four short double-helical elements and three loops (D, anti-codon, and T loops). The record is from RNAcentral. Lineage: Archaea; Nanobdellati; Candidatus Woesearchaeota.
GCGGAGGUAGCGAAGCCUGGUCAAACGCGCAGGACUCAGAAUCCUGUCCCUUAGUGGGUCCGAGGGUUCGAAUAUCCCAGAGGAAAAGCAAAUCCUCAGGAUUUGAGAGUCCCUUCCUCCGCA